This 336-nucleotide ribosomal RNA is filed under the name Triticum aestivum (bread wheat). RNAcentral's name for it is "partial small subunit ribosomal RNA". Lineage: Eukaryota; Viridiplantae; Streptophyta; Magnoliopsida; Poales; Poaceae. The record is from RNAcentral.
UCACAUUGGUCUCAAACCAAUGACAUGCAUUUCGAAGACCACGAGUUCGAGGUGGACGAGGAGGGUGAGGGCAUUGUCGACGCGCCGAAAGGAAGAGCGGGCAAUUACACCAACGCCGAUGACAUCUUACUAUGCAAUACUUGGUUGCAAGUGUCGAGGGAUCCAUCCGUUGGAGGUGAUGAAAGUCGAGAUGCUUAUUGGGGGCGGAUGAAAGAACACUUUGAUGUUCACAACGUGAGUGGACUUGACCGCUCUGAGAGAUCACUUCGGUCCCGAUGGUCGACAAUCAACUCGGAUUGUCAAAGGUGGGCGACCUGUCAAAAGGCGGUUGACAAG